RNAcentral lists this ribosomal RNA (289 nucleotides) under CFB group bacterium kbc05f. RNAcentral describes it as "partial 16S ribosomal RNA". It matches the Rfam family "Bacterial small subunit ribosomal RNA", at positions 549 to 836 of the family's 1533-position model. The record is from RNAcentral. Lineage: Bacteria; Pseudomonadati; Bacteroidota.
AAUUACUGGGCGUAAAGCGCGCGUAGGCGGGCCGAUAAGCCAGGGGUGAAAGCCCGGGGCUCAACCGGGGAACGGCCUUUGAAACUGGCAGGCUAGAGUAAGGGAGAGGAGACUGGAAUAUCCAGUGUAGCGGUGAAAUGCAUAGAUAUAACAAAGAACACCAAUGGCGAAGGCAGCUCACUAACCCAAUACUGACACUGAGGGACGAAAGCGUGGGGAGCAAACAGGAUUAGAUACCCUGGUAGUCCACGCCGUAAACGAUGGAUACUAGCCGUCCGGACUGCAAGAA